CUCUCCAUAGCUCAACAGGAUAGAGCAGCCGCCUCCUAAGCGGCCGAUCGGGGUUCGAGUCCCUGUGGAGAGACCA
RNAcentral lists this transfer RNA (76 nucleotides) under Shewanella sp. HN-41. RNAcentral describes it as "tRNA-Arg". It matches the Rfam family "tRNA". Rfam says of the family: Transfer RNA (tRNA) molecules are approximately 80 nucleotides in length. The record is from RNAcentral. Lineage: Bacteria; Pseudomonadati; Pseudomonadota; Gammaproteobacteria; Alteromonadales; Shewanellaceae.